AUGGCGCCCUCGCCGCCAAGUGCGACAUGCAUUCACCGCCACCGUCCAUUCUUCCGACUUCUAGUCCUCGUGCUCGCAGGAAUCCGGCCCGCCUCGUCGCAGUUCAUCUUCACGCCGCCGACGGCCGGCGCGACCUUCGCUUGGGCGUCAACCCCGCCCCCGCCCCCGCCGCCAGCUGCCGGGGGACUUGGCAGCGGGACCUUCAACGUUGCCACCUCGCUCCUCUUUGUGGGUGUAAUCGUGGCCCUCUUCUUGGUCGGCUUCUUCUCUGCGUACCUCCGCCGCUGUGCGGACGCCGCCACGGGCGCGCGCCGAGGUGGGGCCACCGCGAACGCCAACGCAGCCGUCGCGGCCGCUGCGGCAGCCGCAUUCUCGUCCGCGGUUAGCCGUAGCAGGAGGCGUCCCGGGCUCGACGUCGCUGCGAUGGAAGCGCUGCCGGUGCUAACGUACGCGAGGGCGAGGGCGGUCAAGGCCGGCCGCGGGGCUCUGGAGUGCGCGGUGUGCCUCGCCGAGUUCGCCGACGACGGGGAGAAGCUCCGUCUCCUCCCCGGGUGCCGCCACGUCUUCCACGCGGCGUGCAUCGACGUGUGGCUCGCGGCACACGUCACCUGCCCAGUGUGCCGAGCCGACUUGGCCGACCCGGCCGUCGCCGCGGCCGGCCACGUCCUAGCCGCUGACCUCGCUGCUCAGGUAGAAACGUCCAACGACACGGUGAUCAACGUCGAGGCUUUGGAUCCAGCACCAGUUGAAGAUUCCACGUCUGAUCAGCAGCAGGCAGAGACGGCGGAGGAGCGCGUGGAUCGGUUCACGCUGCGGCUGCCGGAGAGGCUGAGGAGGGAGAUCGAGGAGGCGAAGCGGCUCCGCAGAGCGAUGAGCGCGGUGACCACCGCGGCAGCGGCAAGCACGUCAAGCGGGCGGUGGGUGCCGUCGGCGUUACGGACAAUGUCGGCAGCGCGUCCUAGCGGUCGAUGGUCGGCGUUGUUCCGCGCGUUGUCGGGACCGCACCGAAGUGAGCUGGGCGGCAGCAGCCGGAGGGUGGCGCCGCUGCAAACUCACGCCGCCAGCGAUGACGCGGUGGAGGUGGUGCUGGUGCAGGAUGACGCCGGGCAAGAGGAGAAGUACUAUGCACACAGCCUCACGUUCGCCGGGUUCGUCAUUGACGGUGACGUCGCAGCUGGCGACUGGAACCCGGAGGUCUUCCAGAUCUCUUCUGCCGUCCCGGUGGCGGCGACGUCCCAGCGGUGA
This 1245-nucleotide ribosomal RNA is filed under the name Triticum aestivum (bread wheat). RNAcentral describes it as "partial small subunit ribosomal RNA". Lineage: Eukaryota; Viridiplantae; Streptophyta; Magnoliopsida; Poales; Poaceae. The record is from RNAcentral.